Molecule: ribosomal RNA, 1372 nt
Filed under: uncultured bacterium
Lineage: Bacteria
Description: bacterial SSU rRNA
Rfam family: Bacterial small subunit ribosomal RNA
Source: RNAcentral
GAUGAACGCUGGCGGCGUGCCUAAUACAUGCAAGUCGAGCGAACGGACGAGAAGCUUGCUUCUCUGAUGUUAGCGGCGGACGGGUGAGUAACACGUGGAUAACCUACCUAUAAGACUGGGAUAACUUCGGGAAACCGGAGCUAAUACCGGAUAAUAUUUUGAACCGCAUGGUUCAAAAGUAAAAGACGGUCUUGCUGUCACUUAUAGAUGGAUCCGCGCUGCAUUAGCUAGUUGGUAAGGUAACGGCUUACCAAGGCAACGAUGCAUAGCCGACCUGAGAGGGUGAUCGGCCACACUGGAACUGAGACACGGUCCAGACUCCUACGGGAGGCAGCAGUAGGGAAUCUUCCGCAAUGGGCGAAAGCCUGACGGAGCAACGCCGCGUGAGUGAUGAAGGUCUUCGGAUCGUAAAACUCUGUUAUUAGGGAAGAAUAUAUGUGUAAGUAACUGUGCACAUCUUGACGGUACCUAAUCAGAAAGCCACGGCUAACUACGUGCCAGCAGCCGCGGUAAUACGUAGGUGGCAAGCGUUAUCCGGAAUUAUUGGGCGUAAAGCGCGCGUAGGCGGUUUUUUAAGUCUGAUGUGAAAGCCCACGGCUCAUUCGUGGAGGGUCAUUGGAAACUGGAAAACUUGAGUGCAGAAGAGGAAAGUGGAAUUCCAUGUGUAGCGGUGAAAUGCGCAGAGAUAUGGAGGAACACCAGUGGCGAAGGCGACUUUCUGGUCUGUAACUGACGCUGAUGUGCGAAAGCGUGGGGAUCAAACAGGAUUAGAUACCCUGGUAGUCCACGCCGUAAACGAUGAGUGCUAAGUGUUAGGGGGUUUCCGCCCCUUAGUGCUGCAGCUAACGCAUUAAGCACUCCGCCUGGGGAGUACGACCGCAAGGUUGAAACUCAAAGGAAUUGACGGGGACCCGCACAAGCGGUGGAGCAUGUGGUUUAAUUCGAAGCAACGCGAAGAACCUUACCAAAUCUUGACAUCCUUUGACAACUCUAGAGAUAGAGCCUUCCCCUUCGGGGGACAAAGUGACAGGUGGUGCAUGGUUGUCGUCAGCUCGUGUCGUGAGAUGUUGGGUUAAGUCCCGCAACGAGCGCAACCCUUAAGCUUAGUUGCCAUCAUUAAGUUGGGCACUCUAAGUUGACUGCCGGUGACAAACCGGAGGAAGGUGGGGAUGACGUCAAAUCAUCAUGCCCCUUAUGAUUUGGGCUACACACGUGCUACAAUGGACAAUACAAAGGGCAGCGAAACCGCGAGGUCAAGCAAAUCCCAUAAAGUUGUUCUCAGUUCGGAUUGUAGUCUGCAACUCGACUACAUGAAGCUGGAAUCGCUAGUAAUCGUAGAUCAGCAUGCUACGGUGAAUACGUUCCCGGGUCU